This 729-nucleotide long non-coding RNA is filed under the name Homo sapiens (human). RNAcentral describes it as "LHRI_LNC983.1". The record is from RNAcentral. Lineage: Eukaryota; Metazoa; Chordata; Mammalia; Primates; Hominidae.
UGACAAGGCAGUGCAACCCUGGCUAUUUUCUGGGCAAGGCUGGUGCUCUGGUGCUGGACUUCAUUUGCCUGAAGGAAGCAGUGCAUUUUUCUAACUUGUGUGAAGACAUUGUAUGGACUAGCUGUGGCCCUGGAGCCAUGUAUGUGGAUGGGGUCGGCCUCACUGAACCACUGAGACUCCAGAUCUGCUGUUAGAGGAGAAUUCUUCUGUCCUAGCUGUGUCUCUGUGAUCUGUGGAUGAGGGUGGGAAAGCACCACUCAGUCAAUUGGGGUGUACAAAAUGGAGUUUGAGAAGGUCUCACAUCCAGGUUGUUUUGAAGCAAAGUCCAAGCAUUGUAUCACUUCAUCUGCAAAUAUUUCAAUAAGUACCCAAAAGUGGUUGGACUGAGUCCCAUGAAGCCAGAUCACUUCUGACUGCAAGGAGCUUGGAAAAGCAAGUAUCUGGAUCUUUUACCAGCUAAAUUUGGAGCGAUGAGGCUUCCUCUUUGAAGAUCACAGGUGAGAAGAUUAGGUGCUUUCUCAGAAGCCCAGCAACCUGAUGGGAGUGUGGAGUGAGCAAGACCCAAAUCGGAGCUUCAUCCCUGCAUGGUUCAUUUUGCUUAUUUGGCAAACUUGCCCUGCAGAAUCUACUCAAGCUUCCUCAGUUUCUCAAAUCAUUCUUGGGCAACAAAUGAACAAGAAAGAGGACGUCUUAUUAUCUGGUGUCUGGCUUGCUGAUUUAAUAACCUAG